AAAAAGACAAAACCUGAGUUUCUGUGUCUAACGUUUGACCGUUCGUCUUAUUUAAAAAAAAUAUGAAAAAAAUUAAAAAGAUAAAUCACACAUAAAGUAUUAAUCAUGUUUUAUCAUCUAACAAUAAUGAAAAUAAUAAUUAUAAAAAAAUAUCACAUAAGACGGACAGUCAAACGUUGAAUAUGGAAAUCCAGAGUUUGUCUUUUU
Molecule: non-coding RNA, 207 nt
Organism: Oryza barthii
Lineage: Eukaryota; Viridiplantae; Streptophyta; Magnoliopsida; Poales; Poaceae
Source: Rfam